GAUGAACGCUAGCGGCAGGCCUAACACAUGCAAGUCGAGGGGUAGAGUUCUUCGGAACUUGAGACCGGCGCACGGGUGCGUAACGCGUAUGCAAUCUACCUUAUACAGGGGAAUAGCCCAGAGAAAUUUGGAUUAAUGCCCCAUAGUGUUAUCGAAUCGCAUGGUUUGAUAACUAAAGUUCCAACGGUAUAAGAUGAGCAUGCGUCCCAUUAGUUAGUUGGUAAGGUAACGGCUUACCAAGACAAUGAUGGGUAGGGGUCCUGAGAGGGAGAUCCCCCACACUGGUACUGAGACACGGACCAGACUCCUACGGGAGGCAGCAGUGAGGAAUAUGGUCAAUGGCGCAAGCCUGAACCAGCCAUGCCGCGUGCAGGAAGACGGUCCUAUGGAUUGUAAACUGCUUUUAAUACAGGAAGAAACCCUCCCACGUGUGGGAGCUUGACGGUACUGUAGGAAU
This 457-nucleotide ribosomal RNA is filed under the name uncultured bacterium. RNAcentral's name for it is "bacterial SSU rRNA". It matches the Rfam family "Bacterial small subunit ribosomal RNA", at positions 28 to 487 of the family's 1533-position model. The record is from RNAcentral.